GAUAGCUCAGUGGGUACAGCACAAGACUUCUAAUCUCAGGGUCAUGGGUUCAAGCCACACAUCGGCCA
This is a non-coding RNA of Podarcis lilfordi (Lilford's wall lizard), 68 nucleotides long. The record is from the annotation of a GenBank genome assembly. Lineage: Eukaryota; Metazoa; Chordata; Lepidosauria; Squamata; Lacertidae.